CCUACGGGAGGCAGCAGUGAGGAAUAUUGGUCAAUGGGCGGAAGCCUGAACCAGCCAAGUAGCGUGCAGGAUGACGGCCCUACGGGUUGUAAACUUCUUUUAUACGGGAAUAACGUGCCUUACGUGUGUGUCUUUGCAUGUACUUUAUGAAUAAGGACCGGCUAAUUCCGUGCCAGCAGCCGCGGUAAUACGGAAGGUCCGGGCGUUAUCCGGAUUUAUUGGGUUUAAAGGGAGCGUAGGCGGCUUGUCAAGCGUGCUGUGAAAUGUCCGGGCUCAACCCGGGCCUUGCAGUGGCAACUGGCGUGCUUGAGUUCGAGGGAAGCAGGCGGAAUUCGUGGUGUAGCGGUGAAAUGCUUAGAUAUGACGAAGAACCCCGAUUGCGAAGGCAGCUUGCUGCCGCGGCACUGACGCUGAUGCUCGAAAGCGCGGGUAUCGAACAGGAUUAGAUACCCGAGUAGUC
This 460-nucleotide ribosomal RNA is filed under the name uncultured bacterium. Its description in RNAcentral is "partial 16S ribosomal RNA". It matches the Rfam family "Bacterial small subunit ribosomal RNA", at positions 338 to 795 of the family's 1533-position model. The record is from RNAcentral.